UGGAAGAAGAUGAAAGCAGUGCAAAUGUUUUGAAACAGAAUGAUAGUGGAACAAUAGAUAAUUACAUUAUAACACAAACUUUCCAUCGCAUUGCUGCAUUAUUUGACGAACACAUUUAGAAUAAUAGUUAUUUUAAUAGAUAUUCAUUGUCAUACAAUUUUUUUUUGCAAAAUUGUUAUUGGUAACUUGAGAUCUAUUAAAAAAAAAUUAGCAUAUAUUUUUUUCAUAUAUUAGCUUGCACAUUUUUUUUACAAAUAUUAGCAUGUAAUAUUAGUAUUAAUUAUUACUAAUGUUAAACAUCAUUAUAAAAUCACUUCAGCAAAAAGUUUAUCGUAAAUCACUUUUCUUUUAAAAUNAAAAAAUAGUAUGACGAUUUAGAUUUAGUAAAUUAGGCUUAGUUUGGUAUUGAGGCCUAUCUAACGUUAUUAGAUAAAAUGGAGUUGAGAAAAAAUCAUAUAGGGACAUACUUCUGCGUUCUCCGGUGGGACCGCAGAAAAUAUAUCAUAACCGACAAAUCGCGAUAUGCGGAGCGCAAUAUUAUGUCUGAAAACAAACAGAGCAUUUUUUUAUCAUACUUUCUCACGGCACGUAACGCUAAGCUUGAGUCAAAUACU
This 614-nucleotide long non-coding RNA is filed under the name Ananas comosus (pineapple). Its description in RNAcentral is "long non-coding RNA (ACOM_LNC017669)". The record is from RNAcentral. Lineage: Eukaryota; Viridiplantae; Streptophyta; Magnoliopsida; Poales; Bromeliaceae.